RNAcentral lists this ribosomal RNA (505 nucleotides) under uncultured bacterium. Its description in RNAcentral is "partial 16S ribosomal RNA". It matches the Rfam family "Bacterial small subunit ribosomal RNA", at positions 28 to 507 of the family's 1533-position model. The record is from RNAcentral.
GACGAACGCUGGCGGCGUGCCUAAUACAUGCAAGUAGAACGCACAGUUUAUACCGUAGCUUGCUACACCAUAGACUGUGAGUUGCGAACGGGUGAGUAACGCGUAGGUAACCUGCCUGGUAGCGGGGGAUAACUAUUGGAAACGAUAGCUAAUACCGCAUAAUAUUAAUUAUUGCAUGAUAAUUAAUUGAAAGGUGCAAUUGCACCACUACCAGAUGGACCUGCGUUGUAUUAGCUAGUAGGUGAGGUAACGGCUCACCUAGGCGACGAUACAUAGCCGACCUGAGAGGGUGAUCGGCCACACUGGGACUGAGACACGGCCCAGACUCCUACGGGAGGCAGCAGUAGGGAAUCUUCGGCAAUGGACGAAAGUCUGACCGAGCAACGCCGCGUGAGUGAAGAAGGGUUUCGGAUCGUAAAGCUCUGUUGUAAGAGAAGAACGGGUGUGAGAGUGGAAAGUUCACACUGUGACGGUACCUUACCAGAAAGGGACGGCUAACUACGUG